Molecule: non-coding RNA, 253 nt
Filed under: Hyella patelloides LEGE 07179
Lineage: Bacteria; Bacillati; Cyanobacteriota; Cyanophyceae; Pleurocapsales; Pleurocapsaceae
Source: RNAcentral
AAAGACAUCAAACUAGUCGGUUUUAAUGGGGAACAGCCAUUAAAAGUAAUGGGGAAAAUUCGGUGUAAAUCCGACGCUGUCCCGCAACUGUGAUGAGACGAGCGACCCCGCGUCGGACGUGGCGUACAAGCUUUUGAGGAGACCUCAAAAGACAGCCACUCCGUAAGACGCUCAGGGAACGCGCGAGAUGAUUAACUAAUAAAUCUCAAUAAAUCUCUUAGUCAGGAUGCCCGCCGAUGCCAGUAUAGAGGUA